Molecule: ribosomal RNA, 442 nt
Filed under: uncultured bacterium
Lineage: Bacteria
Description: partial 16S ribosomal RNA
Rfam family: Bacterial small subunit ribosomal RNA
Source: RNAcentral
CCUACGGGUGGCAGCAGUGAGGAAUAUUGGUCAAUGGGCGAGAGCCUGAACCAGCAACGCCGCGUGAAGGAAGAAGGCUUUCGGGUUGUAAACUUCUUUUGACAGGGAAGAGCAGAAGACGGUACCUGUCGAAUAAGCCACGGCUAACUACUUGCCAGCACCCGCGGUAAUACGUUGGUGGCAAGCGUUGUCCUGAUUUACUGGGUGUAAAGGUCGUGUAGCCGGGCUGACAAGUCAGAUGUGAAAUCCGGGGGCUCAACCCCCGAACUGCAUUUGAAACUGUUGGUCUUGAGUAUCGGAGAGGCAGGCGGAAUGCCUAGGGUAGCGGUGAAAUGCGGAGAUAUUAGGAGGAACACCAGUGGCGAAGGCGGCCUGCUGGACGACAACUGACGGUGAGGCGCGAAAGCGUGGGGAGCGAACAGGAUUAGAUACCCGAGUAGUC